AUGAGUAAACUUGCAACACCACCACCACAUGCUAUUAAUUCUGAUAUGUCACAAGUUAUUGAUGAUGCUACUUCUACUAUGAAUGAUGCUUAUGAUGAUGCUAGUACCAUGCUCGAUAAUGAUGGUGUGCCCCUUGGUGAAUUUCUUGAUGAACAAAUUGCUAGAGUAAUACAACAUGAUGUUGUUGAAUCUGAUGAUGAGCUUGAAACUGAAACUCCUAAAACACUUGCUAUAGCUAGCCCUCCUAGAUAUGAAUUGCCUAAGGUACCGGAAGGCUAUGUUAUAAGUGAAGAGGCAACUAGAGAUAUUCUUGCUUGUAUGGAUAGAGAUGAUCUAGAGAAAUUAUUACACAAGUAUAAAGAAAAAUCUCUGAAUGCUAGAAUGAAAUGUGAUCCUAAGUUUGAUACUUAG
RNAcentral lists this ribosomal RNA (411 nucleotides) under Triticum aestivum (bread wheat). Its description in RNAcentral is "partial small subunit ribosomal RNA". The record is from RNAcentral. Lineage: Eukaryota; Viridiplantae; Streptophyta; Magnoliopsida; Poales; Poaceae.